CCUACGGGAGGCAGCAGUGAGGAAUAUUGGUCAAUGGGCGCGAGCCUGAACCAGCCAAGUAGCGUGAAGGAUGACUGCCCUACGGGUUGUAAACUUCUUUUGUCGGGGAACAAAGGCGGAGACGCGUCUCCGGAUGAGUGUACCCGAAGAAAAAGCAUCGGCUAACUCCGUGCCAGCAGCCGCGGUAAUACGGAGGAUGCGAGCGUUAUCCGGAUUUAUUGGGUUUAAAGGGUGCGCAGGCGGGAGAUCAAGUCAGCGGUAAAAUGUCGGGGCUCAACCCCGGCCGGCCGUUGAAACUGGUUUUCUAGAGUUGGAGAGAAGUAUGCGGAAUUCGUGGUGUAGCGGUGAAAUGCAUAGAUAUCACGAAGAACUCCGAUUGCGAAGGCAGCAUACCGGCUCCAUACUGACGCUGAGGCACGAAAGCGUGGGGAUCGAACAGGAUUAGAUACCCUGGUAGUC
RNAcentral lists this ribosomal RNA (459 nucleotides) under uncultured bacterium. Its description in RNAcentral is "partial 16S ribosomal RNA". It matches the Rfam family "Bacterial small subunit ribosomal RNA", at positions 338 to 795 of the family's 1533-position model. The record is from RNAcentral.